RNAcentral lists this ribosomal RNA (406 nucleotides) under Ochodaeus montanus. RNAcentral's name for it is "partial 16S ribosomal RNA". Lineage: Eukaryota; Metazoa; Arthropoda; Insecta; Coleoptera; Ochodaeidae. The record is from RNAcentral.
UUUAAGGUCUAACCUGCCCACUGAUUAAUUUAACGGCCGCAGUAUUUUGACUGUGCAAAGGUAGCAUAAUAAUUAGUUUUUUAAUUGAAAACUGGAAUGAAUGGUUGGACGAGAAAGAAGCUGUCUCCAUAUAAUUUAAUUAGAAUUUUAUUUUUAAGUCAAAAAGCUUAAAUGAUUUUAAAAGACGAGAAGACCCUAUAGAGUUUUAUAUUACUUUUAAAUUAAAAAAUUUUAGAAUCUUAUUGUUUUAAUUUAACUUAAUAUUUUGUUGGGGUGACAGGAAGAUUGAAUGAGCUUUUCUUAUAUUUAACCAUUAAUAUAUGAAUAUAUGAUCCAUAUUUUAUGAUUAGAAGAUUAAAUUACCUUAGGGAUAACAGCGUAAUUUUUUUUAAGAGUCUAUCGAAAU